Molecule: transfer RNA, 65 nt
Filed under: Anolis carolinensis (green anole)
Lineage: Eukaryota; Metazoa; Chordata; Lepidosauria; Squamata; Anolidae
Rfam family: tRNA
About the family: Transfer RNA (tRNA) molecules are approximately 80 nucleotides in length.
Source: Rfam by way of RNAcentral
GGCCGAAUAGUUUAGAUAUUGGACUAGGAUUCUGGAAGACUAGGGUUCAACUCCCUAUUUGUCCA